UUUUUAUGGAAUCCAGAAACCAUAUAAAAAAACGGGGCAAAACCGAAAAGCCAUACGAGUAGGAAACUA
Regulatory RNA element from Flavobacterium terrae, 69 nucleotides. It matches the Rfam family "DUF805 RNA". The record is from Rfam. NCBI's taxonomy places the organism in Bacteria, Pseudomonadati, Bacteroidota, Flavobacteriia, Flavobacteriales, Flavobacteriaceae.